Molecule: ribosomal RNA, 495 nt
Filed under: uncultured bacterium
Lineage: Bacteria
Description: bacterial SSU rRNA
Rfam family: Bacterial small subunit ribosomal RNA
Source: RNAcentral
GAUGAACGCUAGCUACAGGCUUAACACAUGCAAGUCGAGGGGCAGCAUGACGGAACCUUCGGGUUUUGUUGAUGGCGACCGGCGCAAGGGUGCGUAACGCGUGAGCAACUUGCCCGUUUCAGGGGGAUAACCGGUGGAAACGCCGACUAAUACCCCAUAGUAUCAUAUUUAGGCAUCUUUAUAUGAUUAAAGAAUUUCGGAAACGGAUAGGCUCGCGUGACAUUAGCUAGAUGGCGGGGUAACGGCCCACCAUGGCGACGAUGUCUAGGGGUUCUGAGAGGAAGGUCCCCCCACACUGGAACUGAGACACGGUCCAGACUCCUACGGGAGGCAGCAGUGAGGAAUAUUGGUCAAUGGCCGGGAGGCUGAACCAGCCAUGCCGCGUGAAGGUCACGGCCCUAUGGGUCUUAAACUUCUUUUGUAAGGGAGCAAUAAGGUUCACGUGUGGACUGAUGAGAGUACCUUACGAAUAAGCAUCGGCUAACUCCGUGCCAG